RNAcentral lists this long non-coding RNA (3030 nucleotides) under Homo sapiens (human). RNAcentral describes it as "HSALNT0315557". The record is from RNAcentral. Lineage: Eukaryota; Metazoa; Chordata; Mammalia; Primates; Hominidae.
CAGAGCUGUGACUGUUGUAAAACUCCUGCCACCCACAGCUCAGCAAAAUCUCAGGCGCCAUUGUAGAGCAGCCAUUGAAUCAACACAGAGAGGCGGCAGCGUGCCUCUGACUCACCAGGAACCCAGCUCCUCACUGUUCCGCCUGCAAACAGACCUCAAAGCUCCUUGUUCCUUGCUUUGUGCUGCUGAACGCAAGUGGGACCCAGGGAAGGCCACAGAUGCUCUCUGGAAGUACAAUAGCUAUUUUCCUGGUCUGCAUCUGAGGUAGACACGGAAGGAUCAGAGGGACUCAGGGCAUUGCCCUCAGGGGAGUUCUUGGUGCUCAAUGCCUGCAUACCUCACUUAUGCCAUGAAGGUAUUCCUUAAAGGAAAUGAUAAAAAUAUCACUUUGAUGAGGAAUCGAAAAUUAACCAACUCGAUAAGUGGAAUACCCAGGAUUCCCCAAACGGACUGGCUUCAAGAAGGAAAAGAUGGGUGUUGGAAAAUUUAAUGGACUGAAGAAAUGGCAGCAUUUGUUUUUGAAUGAGAAUAAAAUAAGUGAGUUGCUGUGAAAUACAGUUCUUUAUUAAGCGAAAAAAUUGCCUGGGUAUCAAAACCUUUUUACAGACAACACAGUUUAUAAAAGAGUCUCUUUUGAAUGCUGCAGAAAUUAUGUGUCCAGAGCCUCAACAGGCAUUUGUAAAUGUUAGUCUAAUGAGCAACUUUGUAGCUUGGUAUGUUAAAAAUAAGAUUGAGAACUUUCAGGACAAGUUAAUUUAUGGGUGGCAUUUUCUCUUGCAGCAAAUGAGAACACAGAUAUAGAGAAUAGCACACUGUUAACUAUAUUUAUUUGUGGUGUGGUGAGAAUUUUGAAGGGGUCAAGGAACUUCAGAAACAGGAGCCCAUGAAAGGCAAAACAUCAGGAAAUGGCUGACUCUGUGUUAUGAAAAAGGUCUCAGACCAUUUGGAUGUAGAAUGCAUUGGUCAAAGUCACCAAGUGUUAUAGAUGGAGCUCUCAGGAUGUGUGGAGUUAAUGUCAGGCCGGUCAAGUAACAGCCCAUAGGUGGCACUAUUUUGUAGGUACACUAUCCCCAAGUCCAUUAAUUUCCUCAUUCAUCAGAAAUUGCUUUGGGCACAAAGCUAAAAUGGGAGAAGCCAUGGAUUCAGUAAUUAAUACCACUAAUUGGCUAUUCUUCUAUGUCUCUGAGCAAAAUCAGGUCAACAUUUGCUUAAUGAAUUUGCUGGCUUACUUGCACUGUGGUGCAGAAGAGAUUUUUUUAACUGUUAAUGUCAUCACAGGGGAUAGCCCUAUCUCUGCUUAGCAGUGAAGAUUAGCCCAAAGUCCUGAGCUUUUUGCUGACUCUACAACUUAUCUAUAUUUUUUGACUAUUUUUCUAUAGGUACAGUCACAAGUAUUGCACAAAUGUUUCAUUUGUGAGCUUCUCUCCGUCCAGAUAAAGGUAACUUUUUGGGAAAUUCAUUUGUAAAGGAAUAAUUUCAUCUACUUUCCUACAUUGAGAUCAGUUUCCAGAAAUGAAGAUACCAUAAAAUUUAUUCUCUAAAACUAUGCCAUUGAAAACCAAAUUCUAAAAAUGUUCUCAGACUUCAAACUUUAUGAAAAUGAAAUAACAUUAUUUAGCUUACCUUUCUUAUUUUUUGAUAGCACCUAUGUUGGGCUAUGAUUAGACAUUAUCAAACUGUAAUGCAAAAACGGUACUGAAGUCUAUUUGAAGUCUAAGUAGAGCAAUGCUGAAAGCCAGGAUUGUACACACAUUUUGGAAGAGGUGAUUCUAGAUAUAAGAACCAUUUACAGUAGUAAUUCCAUCCAUGUUAGGAAGAGCCUAUGUUUAGGCUCGACUCCAAAAUUAAUCUGAAAAAAACCAACCACCCUCCUGGCAUAAGUGUUUAAGGCUGCAUUCUGUACAUCACAGUGAAAAAUACAGGGCCUGAAACAUGUUUUGGUACAGAAAAAAAGAUGUGAGGUUUCUGAUUCCAAGUCAAAGCAGUAAUGAAUUAUGAAAUAAAAAUAUAGCAAUAAUUGUUUUCCUUUUUCAAUGUUUUUAAAAUUUAAUAUAAAAUAGCAUAUGAAUAUUAUAUAUAUUUACAUUAUUACAUACCUAUUCCAUAAUUUAAUAAGAAUAAAGUGUUUGCUUCCAUUUCUUGGAGUUUGUCAUUCUUAUAUUCAGCUUAUUUUGUUCAUGAUGACUACCUCCCUGGCCCUUCGACACUUGCUACUCAUUUGUUUUCUACCUACUUGUUUAUAGAGUUUAUAUCUUUUACUAGAGAGUAAGCUGUCUGAGGGCUACACUUUUAUUUCAUUCGUCUUUGCAUCUCCACAGCCCUAGAAUAGAAGUGGGUUCUUAGUACAUGGUCAGUAAGUGUUGGUUAAAUUGAAUUACAUUGCCUUGUUGACUGUUAUUAAUCUUUAAAAUUUUGGGAUAAUUUCCUACCAAACAAACAUCUUUAUUAUGACUUAUAGAAAAAUGAAUAUUUCCUACCAAACAAACAUCUUUAUUAUGACUUAUAGAAAAAUGAAUAAUGCUUAUCAAUAAUCUUUAGUUCUUCUAGUCUCUAGAUGAUUGAAAUGUUUCUCCCUAUCCCUGGGUACCCACCCAGCUAUGCCCCUUUGUGGAAAAAGGCCAAGGGAAAGUCUUUCUCCUUGGCUGAAAUGCCUCCAGCAAGCAGAUGGGUAAGUGGCCCAGUGUAGGUGGGGUCCACUUUCUACUCCUGAGGAGGAGUUGCCUCUCACAGACAGGACACAUCCCCUCCUGCUGGAGAGGAACGGGGCAACAGCCUUCUAGACAGAAGAACUCUGUUUCUAUGAUUUUAUUUUCCACUGUGCUCCACUCCAGAAGAACUAAGGUGACUUGUUAGUUAAUAUGAUUCUCAAAAACCCUCUGUGACAGUUUUCUUAACCAUUUUUCUCCCUCUAAUGAGAACAUGCUUUCCUGAGACCUAGAAUGGCAUACAAUUAUUUCACUGUGUAAUCUCAAAUUAGUGGGAUGUUAUUUACAAGAUGAUUUUACUAAACUGACAAUUGUUAUUUCUAAC